UGGCAGAAGCAGUGCUGAAACUGCUCUCUGAAAGUGAGUUCUCCUGACCCAAUGCCGACUGACUUCUGUGCAAUUGUUCGCCGGUGGCGAGAGCAGAGGACAAUGAGGUGAGACGGCAGACCGCAGCCGCUGGACGUGGCGAUUGAGCUCGGAGAUCUCCUGCUUGGUGUUACGGAGGUCAUCCCCGUGCCUGCCUGCCGUAGCCUGCAGCUCUUCGUACUGUCACAGAGAGAGGAACAACCAGUCAAGGCUGCGGUUGUUGUCCAUGGUCAGGAUGACAGAGGUGUCGGAGAUCUGGGUCUGCACCUGAGACAGCUCCUGCAAAAGCAGCCGGUAUUUUGCUAUUGGGUGAGCAACAUCUAAUUCAACAUAGUACGUGAAUGUGUAUGGACCGGAUCCUCCACCUGCUUAUAGUCACAGGAGAGGAACAUGUGAGCAUCAAGACCCAAGAUAAACACGUAAAACAGCGUGGCCAGUGGUCUGAACAGAAAGGGAGCGCUUUCAACCCGCUCCCGUUUGCCCUGCUGGCAUCUACGCUUAGACCGCAGCCGCUGGACGUGGCGGUUGAGCUCGGAGAUUUCCUGCUUGGUGUUACGGAGGUCGUCCCCGUGCCUGCCUGCCGUAGCCUGCAGCUCUUCAUACUGUCAUGGAGAGAGGAACAACCAGUCAAGACAAGACAUGAAGAUAACAGCACGGAAACCCCCGGUUUCUUCACCUUGGUUUGGUACCAGGACUCUGCUUCAGCCCGGCUGCGGUUGGCGAUGUCCUCGUACUGCGCUUUGACCUCCGAGAUGAUGCUGUCCAGGUCCAGGUUUCGGUUGUUGUCCAUGAUGAGCGUGCAGACCUGGGAGAGGCUACAGAUUGUUAUCUAAAGAGACGGUUGGUGUAACUCUAAAGAGGUAAAGGAUUUAGCAUCUCCUGGGGGAAGAAAUUACAGGCUUUCAGAGGAAAGGAGGGAGGGAAGCUCUUAACUGAGAGUUGAAAUGUCUUGGGAGCUGGUUGUACUCACUGCUUCGUAGAGGGCUCUCAGGAAAUUAAUUUCUUCAGUCAGCGCAUCUACCUUGGCUUGUAGUUCCACCUUGUUCAUAUAGGCAGCAUCUACGUCCUGGAGGACGAGAGAUUUAGGUAAUGCGCUUGAAACUCUUAUUAGCAAGUCAGGAACGCACGUAUCUCUGGAAUAACAGUCCAGGGAAGAAACCGUAAAAAAAGCUUUUGGAAUAUGAAUGGAUGGAUUUGUGAAUGAAUAGGUGAUUAGAGCUCUACAAAUAGUCAUGAGAUGGUAUUCUGUAAUUUCCUCUCACCUUCUUGAGUGUCACAAAUUCAUUCUCUGCAACUGUACGCCUGUUGAUUUCAUCUUCAUACCUAAUGGAGGGAGGCAGAAGGAGCAUUUGUUUAGGCAAGUAACAGACAGAGGUGAUUUUAGUUUGCUGGAAUGAACUUCCUUAAGAGCAUUUUGCAUACAUUGUUCUUUUCUCCUACAGAGCAUCUGAAUAAGAGACCAUGAGCAUGUUCCUAGGCUAAACUAGUUAAAACAAGUACAUCAAAAAAAUUUUAAAGAAUCCAUUCCUUUUUUCCUAUUUCUGGCCAUUAGUCAUACUCCUGCCUCUCUUAAGCAAAUUAAGCAUGCUGUCCUGAAACUCUCAGACCUACCAUGUAAUUUUUUUUUUUCUCAGUAGGUAAUUUAGUUAAUAAGUCUUUGAUCAUAUUCUAAAUUAUUCCCUAAAUGUUUUUGUAUUUGGAUCUGUUACUCCGUUACCGUUUAUCUUGAGAAAACGUCACAACCUUCACUGUCGGGAAUUCCUGUGUGCCGGACGCUCCCGGAUCCCCCGGUUGGCUUAAGGAUGUCGAAUGGAGAAAGGCUGCACCUACCUAGGGUGGAGGUGAUGCGGUUGUCACUCAUCUGGAAGGAAUUUGAGAGGCUGCAAGCAGCAGCGGGUACAAGUCCCAGACCAAGAGGCAGGAGAUGCCUUUACCCCAUGCUGUAAACCUGGGAGUAAAGUCUUGGCUGAGUUUGGUUCUGGCAUCAUGCUGAUAUCAAGGCAGCGAACGUGGGAUACCUCCAACAGCUUUUCAUCACCUCCUCUCCAUCUCUCAGCACCGCUGCUCCUCUCCAGCAUCCGCCUCGGAAGCCUUCGUCUGACGAUGGAUGCCCUUUCUCAGACAAGGCUGACAUUUUUAGAAGUGCCCCUGGCUGCUGGGGCUGUGAUCUCCACCGAGCUCCGCGCAGAAAGCAAGAUCUUUCAACGCUGAAGGUUAUCGCAGCAGUAUUGUAGCAUCUCGUCCUUUCCCGUGGCCCCAGGAAGAGCUUCCAGGGUGGGCUCUUAAAACACUUCCUGUGGAAACAGAAAAGAGACCGAUGGCUGCUCAGAGGGGUUUUUGCCUCGGUAGCAUCCUCCCCCUCAGACCGUGGGCGAAGGACCCGACAGCAGCCUCUGGCACCGCACUGACGGAGACUGCAGAGAUGCCCAGCACUGAGCGUGAUGGCCAGAGCUCCAGGGCGUGGAGAGCUGUACGGUGGGGAGGUCUGGAGGAUGCUAUCGUGGGGAGAGCUCAUCGCUUACCGCUUCGUAGAGAGCUCUCAGGAAGUUAAUUUCAUCUGCCAGUGCAUCUGCUUUGGCCUGCAGCUCGACCUUGUUCAUAUAAGCACCAUCCACAUCCUAAAGAAAAGACAACCAAAGACUUCUGGUGAAGCCAAAGGGACUUCCAUGGGGACCGUCUCUCUGCUUCCAGGUGUAUUAUUUUUGGGAGACUCAAGGGAUCAGACCGUGACCUCCGUUACACCGGAGCAGCUUCCCAGCUAAACGCUGAUCCGGAACGUAAGAAAUCUGACAUAGCUAGAGCUUGAUGCUGAGAUCAAGUUUUGCCUUUUUUACGGUCAUUUUGCAAACUGGAAGAGGAACCCAGUGCAAACACAAGGAGGCUCCACUUGGUCUCCAGCACUUUGUUCUGCUGCUCCAGGAAGCGCACCUGGGGAAACAAAAACAGGCACAUGCUGAAGCCUGUGUGAACAAUGCACACAAAAAACCCCCUGCUGCCAGGAAAAGGAGGGAUCGUUCAACACGGAAAGAAAAGAGAUCCCAAACAGCGUGAGAGAUCCCAAGUGAGCUGCGCAUCCCACGAGCGGUUAAAUAUCCUGCGUUUCCAGACUUCCUCAUGGCCACGCUAAUCUCUGGAUGGAAUAAAGGUCAUCGCAGAACUUGCCCCUGCUGCUGUGGAGCUCCUCCAGCUAUUGCACGGGAAGAGGAUGACGUUAACGCGCCCGAAUCGCCCCUUCCAGGGAAGGUGGUGACUCUCCGGAGCUGCACUGCCGUG
Molecule: long non-coding RNA, 3312 nt
Organism: Grus americana (Whooping crane)
Lineage: Eukaryota; Metazoa; Chordata; Aves; Gruiformes; Gruidae
Exons: 17
Source: RefSeq, a predicted model, not a curated record